CCUUGCAGGUGGAAGAGAAUCUGUAACAAGAUUGGGAAAGAAAGAGGAGAAAAAAUUUCUUUUCCAUUCCAUGGGAAAAUAACGUGUUGAAUUAUCAUCUGGAAACUGUGGGAAGAGCCAACAUGAGCAACGAGAGGCCAGUGAACCCUGGUUCAUCUCCACUGACUGAAGGCCUGAAGAGAAAGAGAGGAAGACCAAAGAAGCAGACACAGGUGGAGGCUGGGGGACAAUUGCUGGUGAAGAAACCACGAGGAAGGCCAAAAGGAAGCAAGAAAGUGAGCACUGUAAUUGGACAAAUGGUAGGACCUCCUGCUGGAAAAAGGCCAAGAGGGAGGCCCCGCAAGUGGGUGAGUACAGUGUUCAGUCCUUUUCUUCUCCUCCAGCCACAGAGCCCAGGCUGGGAGGGAAGCUUCUCUUGCAUUUGUUCUUCUCAGGCUCUGUCGGCAACGACAUUCAGCCUAGCUGACCCAGGAAUCCAACACAUUAGGGAAGCUCUGACUGCCCUUCCAGUACCUCAUUCCCAAGAUUCAGUUCCUGAAACCUCCUGGGAGCCCGGGAGAGCUGCUAUACUUAAUUUAAGACAUACUAGUCUUCUACAGUCCUUCCCAGACUGGGAGGUCAGACCAGAGAUCCUAUCCAUUCUCAAGCAGAGAGGUUGUCUUCCCAAGAAUCCCAACAAACUGGAGUGAGUGCUUAGCAUGUCAGUUUGCCUCAAAAGAAGAAACUUAGAGUUAAAAAAAAAAAAAAAUUAGUGAAUGACAAAACUUUGAAUCCUGCCAGCAGGAGGCUCUUAUAUGCAGCAAACAAAGGAUUAGUAAGAAUCAGUAGUUAGAAGAUGAAUAUUUCAGUCGUAAAAAAAAAAAAAAA
This 867-nucleotide long non-coding RNA is filed under the name Anser cygnoides (Swan goose). Its description in RNAcentral is "lncRNA (ENSACDG00005000072.1)". Lineage: Eukaryota; Metazoa; Chordata; Aves; Anseriformes; Anatidae. The record is from RNAcentral.